AGAGCCGGCCGGGCGGUCGCGACGGGUCCCAGGACCCGCCGAGGAACGUCCGGGCUCCACAGAGCAGGGUGGUGGGUAACGCCCACCCGGGGUGACCCGCGGGACAGUGCCACAGAAAACAGACCGCCCGCCGCUUCGGCGACGGGUAAGGGUGAAACGGUGGUGUAAGAGACCACCAGCGACCGGGGUGACCCGGCCGGCUAGGUAAACCCCACCUGGAGCAAGGUCAAGAUCGGCGCCCCAGGGCGCUGUGCGCGGAUGCUUGAGGGCUGCUCGCCCGAGUCCGCGGGUGGACCGCACGAGGCUGUCGGCAACGGCAGCCCUAGAUGGAUGACCGCCUCCCCGGCCCGCGCGAGCGGCCCGGGAGACAGAACCCGGCGUACAGGCCGACUCUUCCG
RNAcentral lists this RNase P RNA (398 nucleotides) under Kitasatospora purpeofusca. Its description in RNAcentral is "RNase P RNA component class A". It matches the Rfam family "Bacterial RNase P class A". From Rfam's summary of the family: Ribonuclease P (RNase P) is a ubiquitous endoribonuclease, found in archaea, bacteria and eukarya as well as chloroplasts and mitochondria. RNAcentral also lists the same sequence under 2 other names. The record is from RNAcentral. Lineage: Bacteria; Bacillati; Actinomycetota; Actinomycetes; Kitasatosporales; Streptomycetaceae.